Molecule: ribosomal RNA, 498 nt
Filed under: uncultured bacterium
Lineage: Bacteria
Description: partial 16S ribosomal RNA
Rfam family: Bacterial small subunit ribosomal RNA
Source: RNAcentral
GACGAACGCUGGCGGCGUGCCUAAUACAUGCAAGUCGAACGAGAGCGACCGGUGCUUGCACUGGUCAAUCUAGUGGCGAACGGGUGAGUAACACGUGGGUAACCUGCCCAUCAGAGGGGGAUAACAUUCGGAAACGGAUGCUAAAACCGCAUAGGUCUUCGAACCGCAUGGUUUGAAGAGGAAAAGAGGCGCAAGCUUCUGCUGAUGGAUGGACCCGCGGUGCAUUAGCUAGUUGGUGAGGUAACGGCUCACCAAGGCCGUGAUGCAGAGCCGACCGGAGGGGGGGGUCGGCCACAUUGGGACUGAGACACGGCCCAAACUCCUACGGGAGGCAGCAGUAGGGAAUCUUACGCAAUGGACGCAAGUCUGACGGAGCAACGCCGCGUGAGUGAAGAAGGUUUUCGGUUCGUAAAACUCUGUUGUUAGAGAAGAACAAGUGCUAGAGUAACUGUUAGCGCCUUGACGGUAUCUAACCAGAAAGCAACGGCUAACUACGUG